Molecule: non-coding RNA, 374 nt
Organism: Arachis ipaensis
Lineage: Eukaryota; Viridiplantae; Streptophyta; Magnoliopsida; Fabales; Fabaceae
Source: RefSeq, a predicted model, not a curated record
UGCUCUUGCACUAUGUAUUAGGCUCUGUAUGAAGCUCUAAUGAGGCAAAAAGAACUGCUAGCUUACAUUCACAGCCAAGAAGAAGCUAGGCUAAGGAAGAAGAAGUUCUGCUGGUGAGUGUUGUUGCUGAAAGAGGAUCUGCACGACCAAGUUUUUCAUACCAUGGUGUUUCUGAGGAUUGCUAAAUGCUGACCCCUUGCACAUGUAAACUCUAAAUAUUGAUUUAUACUUGAUGAUGGAUUUGACUUAACUAAGGAAAUUUUGUAAUGUGUGUAUAGCCAUUUUGGCUUCUUUGCCGAAUUAAACACAAGUUUGCUGUGUCACACUUUUUUCUAUAGUUGUGUUUAAUGUGAUUUGCCUUUAUCAGUUGAAAA